This 5899-nucleotide long non-coding RNA is filed under the name Sus scrofa (pig). Its description in RNAcentral is "lncRNA (ENSSSCG00000061154.1)". Lineage: Eukaryota; Metazoa; Chordata; Mammalia; Artiodactyla; Suidae. The record is from RNAcentral.
CAAGCAGAUAAAAGACAAAACAAAGAUGUUUACUCUGACUUCAAAAUCUAUUCUGGCAUACUGAUUUUUUUCCAAGAAUUUGAUUCUGCUUUUUUAAAAAGAUAAGUACUGAAGGCUUUUCCCUCCCUAAGUAAAAUACUGAGCUUUCUGCACAGGAAAAAAAAAAAAAAAAAAAAAAAAAAAGACCUGAAGCAUUUUAAGAAAGUUUCUAUUAUCUCUCUUUAUUCAGCCUCCUUCCCCUCCUGUGGCCUUGCCUGCUAUUUAGAAACAAACAGCCUUCUGGUUUCCACAGGUACCUGCUGCAGUGUGCUCUACACCAUAGCCUACGCUGCAACUCCUCCCUUAGUUUCUUUUAUUGGCAUUUUUCUUUUUACAUGCUGUCUUCUACAAGUUUAUUGAAUUACAUUCACUGAUGAACAUAUUCUUCUUCCAUUUACUUACUUAGUUCCUUUCUUUUUAAACCAUUAUUCUAACUUUACUAAAGUUUCAAAUGAGAAAAGGUAAAUUGUUUUUGUCACUUCUCCCUCCUAAACCUCUCAUGAACCAUUAUUAAAAAGUAACUAAAAACUUUACUCCAUUCAAUCUGUUUCUCUACCAGUAGUCACCCUGCCCAAGCAAGGCGUAAUCUCCUGCAGAUAGGAAUUUCAUUACGGGCACCUAUGAAUGAGGAGGGCAUGAGGGAGCAGUGGUGUGCUUGCAAUGCUGUUGACAUUGCAACUUGCGAUGCUAUUGGUGUGUUUUAGGCCACAAAUUCCACAAAAAAUUAACCUUAGAUUUUCUUUCUUUUUCAUAACUGUAUAUAGCUUUACUAAAUCAAGAACACACAAUAAUUAAUUUAAAAAAAUACAUGCACUUCUAAAGCAGUGGUUCAAGAUUUUUUGAUCUUUCAAAAAUUUCAAUUAAAAACUAACAUAUUCAUACCUAAAAUAUUAUAUUUUUUAUUUAUAAUUCAUAAUAAGAAUAGCAAAUUUCAAAGAAAAUUAGGAUCUUACAAAAUAAAUGGGAACACUUUUUGUAUAAAAACAUAUACAACUUUUAUUACUUUGAAUAAAGACACUAUUUUGGUGGAACAAAAUUUUGAGUGUAUAUAUAUGUAUAUAGUGAAUGUGCACAUAUAAUUUAACAUAUAUACACACCAUAUAUUUAUACUUAAUUUUUUACAUUUUAUGUGUUAUGCAGUAGAGGUGUUUAAUGUUUUCUUUUCUUUUUAGGGCCACACCUGUGGCAUAUGGAAGAUCCCAGGCUUGGGGCUGAAUCAGAACUGCAGAUACCAGACUACACCACAGCCAUAGCAACAGGGAUCCAAACCACAUUUGUGACCCACACCGCCUCUCAGGCAAUGCCAGAUCCUUAACCCACUGAGUAAGGCCAGGGAUCAAACCCACACUUCAUGGAUACUGGUCAGGUUUGUAACUUGCUAAGCCACAACAGGAACUCCUAACCUGGGAGAUAUUAAGAAUGACUCAUGUAAACAAAACCUGUGUGUGGAUGCAAAGUAUGACACUUUUAACAUUAAUACCGUAAAAUUUAAUUCAACAUAAGAGCAAAUUAUGCAGUACACUGAUUAGCUUUUUUUAGCAAGUCUUUGAAAAUGUGCUAUGUACUAUAUGAUCACUUUAGAAUAAAAUAUGAGUAUUUUGAAAUAUCAUUAUGUGUUAUUGAAAAUAGUAAGAAAAAACAACAUUUUAACACCUCAUUUGCAUUGGUGCAUCUUUGAUGACUUCAUUAAAAAUGUGUUAAUUGAACAGAAUGUAUAUUCAUUGAAAAAGUUCACUUCAUUCUUGCAUAUAUGAUUCAUCUGAAUUUAAAGAAACAACUAAGUUAUAUUUGUUGCUUAAAUGAUAAAGUGGAAAUUAGCUAACAUUUUUUCUGAAUGCUACCUUGAAAGCAUGGACUAUUAUGAUUUUAACAAGUAAUUAAUUUUAACUUUUUAUUAUUUACUGGGAAGAUAUAUAUUUUCAGUGACACCUAAACAUAUAAAUAAAAAACUUAUUAUUAGCCUUUAUGUAAUAGUAAGUAGGGCAUUAUAAAGACUCUGUAACACCAUUUAUAGCUGGUAAAUUUUGGACUCCAUUUAAGAAGACUGCAUUACAAAUAUCUGUAGCACAGCUUAUUCAAAGGCUAGUUUCACCUAGGAAGAAAUCAUGUAACAGUCAACAUACAGCAAUUUAGCAAAGAAAAAUGGAAAGUAAUUUUUUGAAGUAGAGAAACUGCACUUUUAUAUUUUUAAUAGUGCAAUUUUGUGGAAUUUUUCUACAUAGAUUCUUUCAAAACAAUUUUCAAACAAAAGCAAUGUUUCUCAUUUUAACUUAAAAACAUCUGUGCCUACAAACAAAACAUCUCUUUGGAUUUGUUUUGUUUUCUACAUUCACCCUCUUCACAAGAGUUUAUUAUAAGGCUUAAGAACAACUUACACUUGCAACUCUCAAAUGUUGUCUUCAGCCUACACUUCUUCCAUGAACUUUGGAACACAAAUCUAAUUUUAUACUUAAUACCUCCCCUUGGAUGCCCAACAAGCAACUAAAGCUAAAAAUUUUGAAUUUGCUCUAUUCAGCGCCUUUCUUGUCUCAAUUAUUGUCAAUUAUUGUCAAUCUCCUUCUUUUGAUUGCUUAAGUCAAAAACAUCCUUGAUAUUUAUAUUUCUCUUAGACCAUUUGAUACAUCAGAAAAUUAUUUUACUUCUACAACUUGCCACCAUUUCUAUUUUUCUGUCACCCUGGUCCAAACUACUGUCAUCUACAGACUCUACUACUAUCAUCUGCUUCUGCUCUUGUCCCCUGUAGAUUAUUGAAUACAGUCAGAGUUCUUCUAUGAUGUUGUGAAUUAUAUCAUAUCAUCCUCUCAAAACAACUAAAUUGCAAACUGCAUCAAACCAAUUGCCUCUAGUGUAAAUAGUUUACCUUUCUGACCUCAUUUCCUUCUACUCUUUUAUUACUUUACUCCAGUCACCCCCUUGUUUCUCUCAUUCAUAUAAAAAGUGUCUUCAUCUUAGGACUUCGCAUUUUCUUUUUUCUCUCAUGAAAUAUUUUUCCUCCAGAUCUCUAAAUGUCUAGCUGCGUGAACCCCAUCCUGUUUUGCUUUCUUUUUUUUUCUAAAAUGACAUCUCCUAGGUGAUUUCCUCCAUGAACUCCUUGACUCCUGUUCUGCUUUGUUUAUCAUCUCUUUCAAUUCAUUAGAUUGUUAGGUUCAUGAGAAUAUAUUUUUCUCCUAUCCUUAAUGUAGCAAAGAAAGCUUGAUGUAUAGGUGUUAAAUAGUAAAUAUACCAUCGAGUGAAUUAAAAAAUGAGUUCACACUAGGAUUUAAAAUGUUAAAUGUAAAAUAGUUGAAAAAAUAUAUAAUUGGAAUAUUUAAGAUAUUGGAAUGUUCAAAAUGUAUAAUUGGAAUCACUAUGACAUUAACAUGACAACAAUAAUAAAAAAUAAAGUCAUUACUUUCAAAACAAAUAAUUUGGCCAUAUGAUGUACUGAGACUACCUGGAAGAAAUCAUUUAGAGAUUUAGAGUAAAAUUUUUUAAAAUAUCAGUCAGUUUAGCAAAAAAAGGGAUUAUCUUGAUGACAUAACCUUAAAAUACUUAUGUUUAAUCUGCCUUUAAAUUACUCUAGGAUAUUCUUGUGUCUUACGGUUGGUAACUUUGGGUGAUUAAUUUUUUUCUGACUAUGAAAUUACCAAUAGGUGAAAGAGUAUCUCUACCCAAGCAUGAAACAACCUGAUUCGCUUACCCUCAUAACUGAAUUUAAAUAAAAAAUAUUUUUGGUAAUUCUUGGUGGCUUAAGUGAGAUUAAACCAAAAAAACAAAACAAAACAAACAACAACAAAAAAAACAGACUUAAUGUAAUACUCAACUGAAAGAAAUACUUCUACAGGUCUGCAGGUGGUAACCACACAUAGUUUCUAUCCUGUGAGUUAGUGGUGUAAUUAAUACGUGAAACUAUAUGAAUCUUAGUUAACCAGGGAAGGGAAAAAAGCUGUGGAUUUAAGCACACAGGUCUUAAAAAAUCACUCUAUUUCCGGUAUGAGGGUCGAUUCUCCAGAUAUUCUCAAUCUCAUUAGGAGUGGUCAAGGCUAUGACAGUAUUUUAACAGAAAGCUUAUUCUUCUAAUCAGGUUUGAGUUAACUUCUGGCCUGGGACUAAAGUCCAUGCUUUAUUUAAGCUUUCCAUCUUCUUUAGGAAUAAAGAAGAACCCUGAGCCCUUGAUGUAAUACCUGGAUCUUUAAAAGUAUGGACAUAUUCAAAAGAUCCAGCUAGGGCCCAGACACCAGGUGUAGAUUCAUUUCUCCCUUAACAUCUAUCAAGGUGAAUUCCUACCCUGAGUCUAAGACAUAAUGCCUCUAAUCAUCAUUAUUGCUAUCAGAUGCCAGAAGGGUUCUCACUGUGCAAUUAAAUCACAGCCCCCCCAAGCCCCUUGGCUCUAUUAAUACCUCAACUUUAUAACCGCUUUCUAUUUUCAAUCUGCUAUAACUAUUUUUAUUCUAUCUUUUCUCUGUUUGUAUUAUUCACCAUGAGAAAACCCUCAACUUCAGGUCAUCCUUUACUGCUACACUCUAAGCUCCAAAAAGCUCUGCGCAGCCACUAAAUAGCACUGACUGCCUUUUCAAUUCAGCUAUUGAUGGAUAUUGGGCUGUUACCAGGUUUUGAUUACUAUUAUUCCUAAUAAUGCUAGAAACACUGCUCUAAAUGUCUCUUUGUGCACACACACAUAUUUCUGUGGAGUAUAUGCCAUAUAAAAUACAAGUACAUCCAGUUAAAUCUGAGUUUUGGAUAAGCAACAAUAAUUUUUAUUAUAAAUAUGCACAGAUAUCCUAAAUUUUCUACUCUACUAUCUUGAAUUCACAGUCCACCAUUAGCAAAAUCUCUGAUGUCAUCAUUUUUUUCUGAAUUGUCCCUUUGCUUUCUCAUUUUAACAGAAACCUAUAGCUCAUCUGAAGACACUACAUUACCAGAAGCCCUUUCAAGUAGUAACUAUUUCUCUCAGAGUCCUUACACUCCCAUGACUGGAGGUGAGUAGGCAUCUUCCUUGUUCUUUAUUGUUAAUUUCAAAUCGCUCUUCUUCCUUCCUCCUUUAAAAUCCUCUAUUUUGAAGUACAUGUUAUUAGAUUAUAUCAUCCAGUAAUGUUCAUUAAUAUGCUACUAAAGCAACCUUUAGCAUACUUCUCCUAUUUCUUUAAGAAUUUAACUCUUGGUUCUUUAUGAUUUUCUCCAACAGUAAUCCCAUUUUACUGUUUAGAGAUUUCAAUAAUUAAAUGACUGAUACCUUUGAUAUCCAGGCUCCGGAAGUUCUUGAACUUGUCUCCUCUAAUAAUCCUGGCUACCCAUUCCUAUGGUCACACACUAGAUUUGGUUUUUACUACAAAUGCCAGCUCUCUUGAUUUUCAUCAUGACUUUUGGAUCAUGAUAUUUCAUAUUAUUUUUCUGGUUUCUCCUGGUUCCUUCUCUUCUCCAACACAUGAGUAUUGGGAUGCUCAGGCCUUGGUGACUUUCUUUGGCAUAGAGCCCUCUCUUUGGGAUACCACCAGUCUCAUAGCUUUAAGUAGCAUCCAUACUUUGAUUACAAUCUAUAUUUAUAUUAUUUAUAUAUUUGGCUCAGACAUCAGUUCUAAACUCUUAAAUCAUAUAUUCUCCUGAAUAGCUACAGACAUAUCAAGCUUUACAUGUUGAAAACUGAUCUCUUGAUACUCAACCAAACUUGCUCUACUUGCAGUCUUCCUCUUUAUAACUAAAAAAAAACUUCGGAGUUCCUGUCAUGGCGCAGUGGUUAACGAGUCUGACUAGGAACCAGAGGUUGCGGGUUCGAUCUCUGGCCUCGCUCAGUGGGUUGAGGAUCCGGCGUUGCUGUGGGCUGUGGUGUAGGCUGGUAGCUACAGCUCUGUUUCGACCCCUAACCUGGCGACCUCCAUAUGCC